GAAAUGCGAUAAGUAAUGUGAAUUGCAGAAUUCCGUGAAUCAUCGAAUCUUUGAACGCACAUUGCGCCCCCUGGCAUUCCGGGGGGCAUGCCUGUCCGAGCGUCAUUUCUGCCCUCAAGCACGGCUUGUGUGUUGGGUGCGGUCCCCCCGGGGGCCUGCCCGAAAGGCAGCGGCGACGUCCGUCUGGUCCUCGAGCGUAUGGGGCUUUGUCACUCGCUCGGGAAGGACUGGCGGGGGUUGGUCACCACCACAAAAUUUUACCACGGUUGACCUCGGAUCAGGUAGGAGUUACCCGCUGAACUUAA
Molecule: unclassified non-coding RNA, 305 nt
Filed under: uncultured Talaromyces
Lineage: Eukaryota; Fungi; Ascomycota; Eurotiomycetes; Eurotiales; Trichocomaceae
Description: sequence contains ITS1
Rfam family: 5.8S ribosomal RNA (bases 1-105)
Source: RNAcentral